RNAcentral lists this ribosomal RNA (695 nucleotides) under uncultured Pseudomonas sp. Its description in RNAcentral is "bacterial SSU rRNA". It matches the Rfam family "Bacterial small subunit ribosomal RNA", at positions 28 to 718 of the family's 1533-position model. The record is from RNAcentral. Lineage: Bacteria; Pseudomonadati; Pseudomonadota; Gammaproteobacteria; Pseudomonadales; Pseudomonadaceae.
AUUGAACGCUGGCGGCAGGCCUAACACAUGCAAGUCGAGCGGAUGAGAGGAGCUUGCUCCUUGAUUUAGCGGCGGACGGGUGAGUAAUGCCUAGGAAUCUGCCUGGUAGUGGGGGAUAACGUUCCGAAAGGAACGCUAAUACCGCAUACGUCCUACGGGAGAAAGCAGGGGACCUUCGGGCCUUGCGCUAUCAGAUGAGCCUAGGUCGGAUUAGCUAGUUGGUGAGGUAAUGGCUCACCAAGGCGACGAUCCGUAACUGGUCUGAGAGGAUGAUCAGUCACACUGGAACUGAGACACGGUCCAGACUCCUACGGGAGGCAGCAGUGGGGAAUAUUGGACAAUGGGCGAAAGCCUGAUCCAGCCAUGCCGCGUGUGUGAAGAAGGUCUUCGGAUUGUAAAGCACUUUAAGUUGGGAGGAAGGGCAUUAACCUAAUACGUUAGUGUUUUGACGUUACCGACAGAAUAAGCACCGGCUAACUUCGUGCCAGCAGCCGCGGUAAUACGAAGGGUGCAAGCGUUAAUCGGAAUUACUGGGCGUAAAGCGCGCGUAGGUGGUUCGUUAAGUUGGAUGUGAAAGCCCCGGGCUCAACCUGGGAACUGCAUCCAAAACUGGCGAGCUAGAGUACGGUAGAGGGUGGUGGAAUUUCCUGUGUAGCGGUGAAAUGCGUAGAUAUAGGAAGGAACACCAGUGGCGA